ACUGCUCCAUCCGGGAACUUCCCAAUUAGAAUUGACAGCCGAAGCGCAACUUUUCCCCAUGCAAAGUGAAAUCAAGCCGCGCACUCGGACAAAAUAUAGUCCCCGCUAUUCAACAAAAAAAUAUCGAAAGAAAAAUAAAUCGACCGUUUGGAGAGGAUGCGUCGACACGGCGUUAUUUUUUGGAGUGGAUCUGUCCAGGUACUGAAACCUUUCCGCCGUGUUUGGAGCACUUUGCUCAGCGGCGUAAAGUGAGUGAUGAGCCCUCUACACAGCAAAGAAGCGAGAACUUGCUUUGCAGCCUGAGUAGUUCUUCUUUCGAUUGUUAUUGUCGCUUUAAAAAAAACAUCGAAUUCACUUAAACUUCACAUUGAUUACAUCGAAAGUGGUAUAAAAGUGUUUUUGAACUCGGAACAUGGAACUACAAUGCCUGCAAGAGGCGUUGAAAGUCGAGAUCCAAUGUCAUCAGAAACUAGUUGCACAGAUGAAGCAAGACCCGCAGGAUGGAGAGCUUAAGAAACAACUACACGAGAGACACGACAGAAUAACAGCUCUAAGCGAAAAACAAGUAAGA
Coregonus clupeaformis (lake whitefish) is the source of this 571-nucleotide long non-coding RNA. RefSeq lists it as uncharacterized. The transcript has 3 exons. The record is from RefSeq and is a predicted model, not a curated record. Lineage: Eukaryota; Metazoa; Chordata; Actinopteri; Salmoniformes; Salmonidae.